AAUCUUGCGCAAUGGGCGAAAGCCUGACGCAGCCAUGCCUCGCGAAUGAUGACGGACCUAGGAUUGUACAAUUCUUUCACCGGGGAGGAUAAUGACGGUAACCGGAGAAGAUGCCCCGGCGAACUUCGUGCCAGCAGCCGCGGUAAUACGAAGGGGGCUAGCGUUGCUCGGAAUUACUGGGCGUAAAGGGCGCGUAGGCGGACAUUUAAGUCAGGGGUGAAAUACCAGAGCUCAACUCUGGAACUGCCUUUGAUACUGGGUGUCUUGAGUAUAAGAGAGGUAUGUGGAACUCCGAGUGUAGAGGUGAAAUUCGUAGAUAUUCGGAAGAACACCAGUGGCGAAGGCGACAUACUGGCUCAUUACUAACGCUGAGGCGCGAAAGCGUGGGGAGCAAACA
This 397-nucleotide ribosomal RNA is filed under the name uncultured bacterium. Its description in RNAcentral is "partial 16S ribosomal RNA". It matches the Rfam family "Bacterial small subunit ribosomal RNA", at positions 360 to 774 of the family's 1533-position model. The record is from RNAcentral.